AGAACGAACGCUGGCGGCGUGGAUUAGGCAUGCAAGUCGGACGGGAUCCUUAUGGUUCAAGUUUUCGGACGAGAACUGUUUGGUGAGAGUGGCGAACGGGUGAGUAUCGCGUGGGUAAUUUGCCCUGAAGUUGGGGAUAGCCAGCCGAAAGGUUGGAUAAUACCGAAUGUGGUCGGCUUCCGCAUGGGAGCCUGUCUAAAGGUGGGGAUCUUCGGACCUGCCGCUUUAGGAUGAGCCCGCGUCCCAUCAGCUUGUUGGUAAGGUAACGGCUUACCAAGGCUUACGGGUAGCUGGUCUGAGAGGAUGGUCAGCCACACUGGGACUGAGACACUGCCCAGACUCCUACGGGAGGCUGCAGUCGAGAAUCAUUGUCAAUGCGCGCAAGCGCGAACAUGCGACGCCGCGUGCAGGAUGACGGCCUUCGGGUUGUAAACUGCUGUCUUGAGGGAACAAUAGCACGGGGGUUAAUAGCCUGUUGUGUGUGAUGGUACCUCAGGAGGAAGCCACGGCUAACUCUGUGCCAGCAGCCGCGGU
This 534-nucleotide ribosomal RNA is filed under the name uncultured bacterium. Its description in RNAcentral is "bacterial SSU rRNA". It matches the Rfam family "Bacterial small subunit ribosomal RNA", at positions 26 to 521 of the family's 1533-position model. The record is from RNAcentral.